RNAcentral lists this unclassified non-coding RNA (270 nucleotides) under Hevea brasiliensis (rubber tree). Lineage: Eukaryota; Viridiplantae; Streptophyta; Magnoliopsida; Malpighiales; Euphorbiaceae. The record is from RNAcentral.
CAUCCUACCUAUACAGGGGUUGCAUUAUGGUGAAUCAUUAACUAUAUCAGCUAUACUUCAUUUUCAUUUUACAGUGUGCUAUGCUUAGCAUAAUAUGUAUCCUUUUUUUUUUGGGUGCAGUAUUUGCCAUCUUGCUUUGCUGAGAAGAAUCUAAAUGGGGUUUCAGGAUUCAUUAAACUCCAGUUUUCUGAUGGGAAACAGUGGCCUGUCAGAUGCCUUUAUAGGGGAGGUAGAGCCAAACUAAGCCAAGGGUGGUAUGAAUUCACAUUG